CCAUUGAGUUGAGGACAGUGGCGGACGGGUGAGUAACGCGUGAGCAACCUGCCUUUCAGAGGGGGACAACAGUUGGAAACGACUGCUAAUACCGCAUAACGUAUGAUCAUGGCAUCAUGGACAUACCAAAGAUUUAUCGCUGAAAGAUGGGCUCGCGUCUGAUUAGAUAGUUGGUGAGGUAACGGCUCACCAAGUCGACGAUCAGUAGCCGGACUGAGAGGUUGAACGGCCACAUUGGGACUGAGAUACGGCCCAGACUCCUACGGGAGGCAGCAGUGGGGAAUAUUGGGCAAUGGGGGCAACCCUGACCCAGCAACGCCGCGUGAAGGAAGAAGGCUUUCGGGUUGUAAACUUCUUUGACGAGGGACGAUAAUGACGGUACCUCGAAAACAAGCCACGGCUAACUACGUGCCAGCAGCCGCGGUAAUACGUAGGUGGCAAGCGUUGUCCGGAUUUACUGGGUGUAAAGGGCGCGUAGGCGGGACUGCAAGUCAGAUGUGAAAUGCAGAGGCUCAACCUCUGAGCUGCAUUUGAAACUGUAGUUCUUGAGUAUCGGAGAGGCAGGCGGAAUUCCUAGUGUAGCGGUGAAAUGCGUAGAUAUUAGGAGGAACACCAGUGGCGAAGGCGGCCUGCUGGACGACAACUGACGCUGAGGCGCGAAAGCGUGGGAGCAAACAGGAUUAGAUACCCUGGUAGUCCA
Molecule: ribosomal RNA, 700 nt
Filed under: uncultured bacterium
Lineage: Bacteria
Description: bacterial SSU rRNA
Rfam family: Bacterial small subunit ribosomal RNA
Source: RNAcentral